UUAGCUUGGCUGUUUUUAUAUGUGGUGUAAAUUUCGGAAAAUUAUUUAACCAAUGUGUAUGCUUAUUUCCAAGAUAUUUCAUUAAAAUUUUGAUAAUGCCCUAUAAUUAAUUAUGUCAAUAUCCUUCUAUCUUUCAUAAAUUAUGUAUGUAGUUUCUAUGGGAAUGCAAUUUGGUUCAUCCAAAUUAUUUCAUCAUUUUUCUAUUUUGGAGUUGUGUUUUUUUUUCGAACCCAACUUUAAAUAUAAAAGAAUCCAAUUUCAUAUUAGAGAAAUAAAUUUAAAAUCUUCAAAUAAAUAUGGUGAGAAAAAAAAAUGAAAAUCUCUAUUUUGCAGUUGAAAAUGGA
RNAcentral lists this long non-coding RNA (344 nucleotides) under Capsella rubella. RNAcentral describes it as "long non-coding RNA (CRUB_LNC002093)". Lineage: Eukaryota; Viridiplantae; Streptophyta; Magnoliopsida; Brassicales; Brassicaceae. The record is from RNAcentral.